UAAGCAGAAGCUAUCUUGCAUCUAACUGUUACUUAGACCAUAGCUUAUAUAAUAAGCCUGCUUAA
RNAcentral lists this transfer RNA (65 nucleotides) under Phascolopsis gouldii. RNAcentral describes it as "tRNA-Asn". The record is from RNAcentral. Lineage: Eukaryota; Metazoa; Annelida; Sipuncula; Golfingiida; Sipunculidae.